AGUGAACGCUGGCGGUAGGCCUAACACAUGCAAGUCGAACGGCAGCACAGUAAGAGCUUGCUCUUACGGGUGGCGAGUGGCGGACGGGUGAGGAAUACAUCGGAAUCUACUUUUUCGUGGGGGAUAACGUAGGGAAACUUACGCUAAUACCGCAUACGACCUUCGGGUGAAAGCAGGGGAUCUUCGGACCUUGCGCGAUUGAAUGCGCCGAUGUCGGAUUAGCUAGUUGGCGGGGUAAAGGCCCACCAAGGCGACGAUCCGUAGCUGGUCUGAGAGGAUGAUCGGCCACACUGGAACGGGGACACGGUCCAGACUACUAAGGGAGGCAGCAGUGGGGAAUAGUGGACAAUGGGCGCAAGCCUGAUCCAGCCAUACCGCGUGGGUGAAGAAGGCCUUCGGGUUGUAAAGCCCUUUUGUUGGGAAAGAAAAGCAGCAGGUUAAUACCCAGCUGUUCUGACGGUACCCAAAGAAUAAGCACCGGCUAACUUCGUG
RNAcentral lists this ribosomal RNA (492 nucleotides) under uncultured bacterium. RNAcentral's name for it is "partial 16S ribosomal RNA". It matches the Rfam family "Bacterial small subunit ribosomal RNA", at positions 29 to 507 of the family's 1533-position model. The record is from RNAcentral.